This 429-nucleotide ribosomal RNA is filed under the name Bacteroidota bacterium. RNAcentral's name for it is "Bacteroidetes bacterium partial 16S ribosomal RNA". It matches the Rfam family "Bacterial small subunit ribosomal RNA", at positions 355 to 776 of the family's 1533-position model. The record is from RNAcentral. Lineage: Bacteria; Pseudomonadati; Bacteroidota.
UAGGGAAUCUUCCGCAAUGGACGCAAGUCUGACGGAGCAACGCCGCGUGAGUGAAGAAGGAUUUCGGUUCGUAAAACUCUGUUGUUAGAGAAGAACAGCGCAUAGAGUAACUGUUAUGCGUGUGACGGUAUCUAACCAGAAAGCCACGGCUAACUACGUGCCAGCAGCCGCGGUAAUACGUAGGUGGCAAGCGUUGUCCGGAUUUAUUGGGCGUAAAGCGAGCGCAGGCGGUCAAUUAAGUCUGAUGUGAAAGCCCCCGGCUCAACCGGGGAGGGUCAUUGGAAACUGGUUGACUUGAGUGCAGAAGAGGAGAGUGGAAUUCCAUGUGUAGCGGUGAAAUGCGUAGAUAUAUGGAGGAACACCAGUGGCGAAGGCGACUCUCUGGUCUGUAACUGACGCUGAGGCUCGAAAGCGUGGCUAGCAAACAGG